Molecule: ribosomal RNA, 371 nt
Filed under: Notosaria nigricans
Lineage: Eukaryota; Metazoa; Brachiopoda; Rhynchonellata; Rhynchonellida; Hemithyrididae
Description: partial 12S small subunit ribosomal RNA
Source: RNAcentral
CCCCACUAUGGUAGAGACUAAACACAGAGAUACUGGUAGAGUACUACGAAUAACCCCUUGAAACCCAAAGAACUUGGCGGCGUUCCAAACCCAAUCAGGGGAACCUGUCCUAGAAUCUGAUAAUCCACAACCACCACUACUUUUUCUUGCCGACCCCAGCUUGUAUACCGCCGUCUUCAGCCCACCUAAAAAAGCACAACACGUGUGCCCCAAAUCACUCAUCAUAAGUCAGGUCAAGGUGCAGCCAAUGAAAAAGAAGAGAUGGGUUACAGUUUAAAACAAAAUCCGAAGUAAAACUGAAAUUAAAUGAAAGAAGGACUUGAAAGUAAUGGUGGCCGAGGAACCCCCAUGAAUAAGGCACUGGAACGUGU